GUUAUAUGGUCAAGUGAAGAAGCGCAUACGGUGGAUGCCUUGGCAGUCAGAGGCGAUGAAAGACGUGGUAGCCUGCGAAAAGCUUCGGGGAGUCGGCAAACAGACUUUGAUCCGGAGAUCUCUGAAUGGGGGAACCCACCUAGGAUAACCUAGGUAUCUUGUACUGAAUCCAUAGGUGCAAGAGGCGAACCAGGGGAACUGAAACAUCUAAGUACCCUGAGGAAAAGAAAUCAACCGAGAUUCCCUUAGUAGUGGCGAGCGAACGGGGAUUAGCCCUUAAGCUUCAUUGAUUUUAGCGGAACGCUCUGGAAAGUGCGGCCAUAGUGGGUGAUAGCCCCGUACGCGAAAGGAUCUUUGAAGUGAAAUCGAGUAGGACGGAGCACGAGAAACUUUGUCUGAACAUGGGGGGACCAUCCUCCAAGGCUAAAUACUACUGACUGACCGAUAGUGAACCAGUACCGUGAGGGAAAGGCGAAAAGAACCCCGGAGAGGGGAGUGAAAUAGAACCUGAAACCGUAUGCGUACAAGCAGUGGGAGCCUACUUGUUAGGUGACUGCGUACCUUUUGUAUAAUGGGUCAGCGACUUAUAUUCAGUGGCAAGCUUAACCGUAUAGGGUAGGCGUAGCGAAAGCGAGUCUUAAUAGGGCGUUUAGUCGCUGGGUAUAGACCCGAAACCGGGCGAUCUAUCCAUGAGCAGGUUGAAGGUUAGGUAACACUGACUGGAGGACCGAACCCACUCCCGUUGAAAAGGUAGGGGAUGACUUGUGGAUCGGAGUGAAAGGCUAAUCAAGCUCGGAGAUAGCUGGUUCUCCUCGAAAGCUAUUUAGGUAGCGCCUCAUGUAUCACUCUGGGGGGUAGAGCACUGUUUCGGCUAGGGGGUCAUCCCGACUUACCAAACCGAUGCAAACUCCGAAUACCCAGAAGUGCCGAGCAUGGGAGACACACGGCGGGUGCUAACGUCCGUCGUGAAAAGGGAAACAACCCAGACCGCCAGCUAAGGUCCCAAAGUUGUGGUUAAGUGGUAAACGAUGUGGGAAGGCUUAGACAGCUAGGAGGUUGGCUUAGAAGCAGCCAUCCUUUAAAGAAAGCGUAAUAGCUCACUAGUCGAGUCGGCCUGCGCGGAAGAUGUAACGGGGCUCAAACCACACACCGAAGCUGCGGGUGUCACGUAAGUGACGCGGUAGAGGAGCGUUCUGUAAGCCUGUGAAGGUGAGUUGAGAAGCUUGCUGGAGGUAUCAGAAGUGCGAAUGCUGACAUGAGUAACGACAAUGGGUGUGAAAAACACCCACGCCGAAAGACCAAGGGUUCCUGCGCAACGUUAAUCGACGCAGGGUUAGUCGGUUCCUAAGGCGAGGCUGAAAAGCGUAGUCGAUGGGAAACAGGUUAAUAUUCCUGUACUUCUGGUUACUGCGAUGGAGGGACGGAGAAGGCUAGUGGUAGGCUGAAAUCUUAGGUAAAUCCGGGGUUUCAAGGCCGAGAGCUGAUGACGAGUCGUCUUUUAGAUGACGAAGUGGUUGAUGCCAUGCUUCCAAGAAAAGCUUCUAAGCUUCAGGUAACCAGGAACCGUACCCCAAACCGACACAGGUGGUCGGGUAGAGAAUACCAAGGCGCUUGAGAGAACUCGGGUGAAGGAACUAGGCAAAAUGGCACCGUAACUUCGGGAGAAGGUGCGCCGGCUAGGGUGAAGGAUUUACUCCGUAAGCUCUGGCUGGUCGAAGAUACCAGGCCGCUGCGACUGUUUAUUAAAAACACAGCACUCUGCAAACACGAAAGUGGACGUAUAGGGUGUGACGCCUGCCCGGUGCCGGAAGGUUAAUUGAUGGGGUUAGCGCAAGCGAAGCUCUUGAUCGAAGCCCCGGUAAACGGCGGCCGUAACUAUAACGGUCCUAAGGUAGCGAAAUUCCUUGUCGGGUAAGUUCCGACCUGCACGAAUGGCGUAACGAUGGCGGCGCUGUCUCCACCCGAGACUCAGUGAAAUUGAAAUCGCUGUGAAGAUGCAGUGUAUCCGCGGCUAGACGGRAAGACCCCGUGAACCUUUACUGUAGCUUUGCACUGGACUUUGAGCCUGCUUGUGUAGGAUAGGUGGGAGGCUUUGAAGCGUGGACGCCAGUUCGCGUGGAGCCAUCCUUGAAAUACCACCCUGGCAUGCUUGAGGUUCUAACUCUGGUCCGUGAUCCGGAUCGAGGACAGUGUAUGGUGGGCAGUUUGACUGGGGCGGUCUCCUCCUAAAGAGUAACGGAGGAGUACGAAGGUGCGCUCAGACCGGUCGGAAAUCGGUCGCAGAGUAUAAAGGCAAAAGCGCGCUUGACUGCGAGACAGACACGUCGAGCAGGUACGAAAGUAGGUCUUAGUGAUCCGGUGGUUCUGUAUGGAAGGGCCAUCGCUCAACGGAUAAAAGGUACUCCGGGGAUAACAGGCUGAUACCGCCCAAGAGUUCAUAUCGACGGCGGUGUUUGGCACCUCGAUGUCGGCUCAUCACAUCCUGGGGCUGAAGCCGGUCCCAAGGGUAUGGCUGUUCGCCAUUUAAAGUGGUACGCGAGCUGGGUUUAGAACGUCGUGAGACAGUUCGGUCCCUAUCUGCCGUGGACGUUUGAGAUUUGAGAGGGGCUGCUCCUAGUACGAGAGGACCGGAGUGGACGAACCUCUGGUGUUCCGGUUGUCACGCCAGUGGCAUUGCCGGGUAGCUAUGUUCGGAAAAGAUAACCGCUGAAAGCAUCUAAGCGGGAAACUUGCCUCAAGAUGAGAUCUCACUGGGAACUUGAUUCCCCUGAAGGGCCGUCGAAGACUACGACGUUGAUAGGCUGGGUGUGUAAGCGUUGUGAGGCGUUGAGCUAACCAGUACUAAUUGCCCGUGAGGCUUGACCAUAUAACACCCAAACA
RNAcentral lists this ribosomal RNA (2880 nucleotides) under Pseudomonas aeruginosa. RNAcentral's name for it is "23S ribosomal RNA". It matches the Rfam family "Bacterial large subunit ribosomal RNA". The record is from RNAcentral. Lineage: Bacteria; Pseudomonadati; Pseudomonadota; Gammaproteobacteria; Pseudomonadales; Pseudomonadaceae.